This 207-nucleotide ribosomal RNA is filed under the name uncultured bacterium. RNAcentral describes it as "partial 16S ribosomal RNA". It matches the Rfam family "Bacterial small subunit ribosomal RNA", at positions 568 to 774 of the family's 1533-position model. The record is from RNAcentral.
CGCGUAGGUGGUUUGUUAAGUUGGAUGUGAAAGCCCCGGGCUCAACCUGGGAACUGCAUCCAAAACUGGCAAGCUAGAGUACGGUAGAGGGUGGUGGAAUUUCCUGUGUAGCGGUGAAAUACGUAGAUAUAGGAAGGAACACCAGUGGCGAAGGCGACCACCUGGACUGAUACUGACACUGAGGUGCGAAAGCGUGGGGAGCAAACA